GACGAACGCUGGCGGCGUGCUUAACACAUGCGAGUCGAACGGAAAGGCCCUGCUUUUGUUGGGUGCUCGAGUGGCGAACGGGUGAGUAACACGUGAGUAACCUGCCCUUGACUUUGGGAUAACUUCAGGAAACUGGGGCUAAUACCGGAUAGGAGCUUCUGCUGCAUGUGGGGGGUUGGAAAGUUUCGGCGGUGGGGGAUGGACUCGCGGCUUAUCAGCUUGUUGGUGGGGUAGUGGCUUACCAAGGCUUUGACGGGUAGCCGGCCUGAGAGGGUGAACGGCCACAUUGGGACUGAGAUACGGCCCAGACUCCUACGGGAGGCAGCAGUGGGGAAUAUUGCACAAUGGGCGGAAGCCUGAUGCAGCAACGCCGCGUGCGGGAUGACGGCCUUCGGGUUGUAAACCGCUUUCGCCUGUGACGAAGCGUGAGUGACGGUAAUGGGUAAAGAAGCACCGGCUAACUACGUG
Molecule: ribosomal RNA, 468 nt
Filed under: uncultured bacterium
Lineage: Bacteria
Description: partial 16S ribosomal RNA
Rfam family: Bacterial small subunit ribosomal RNA
Source: RNAcentral